RNAcentral lists this ribosomal RNA (440 nucleotides) under uncultured bacterium. Its description in RNAcentral is "partial 16S ribosomal RNA". It matches the Rfam family "Bacterial small subunit ribosomal RNA", at positions 338 to 795 of the family's 1533-position model. The record is from RNAcentral.
CCUACGGGAGGCAGCAGUGGGGGAUAUUGCACAAUGGGGGAAACCCUGAUGCAGCGACGCCGCGUGGGUGAAGAAGCGCCUCGGCGCGUAAAGCCCUGUCAGCCGGGAAGAAAAUGACGGUACCUGAAGAAGAAGCCCCGGCUAACUACGUGCAAGCAGCCGCGGUAAUACGGAGGGGGCAAGCGCUAUCCGGAUUUACUGGGUGUAAAGGGGGCGCAGACGGGGAUGCAAGCCAGGAGUGAAAGCCCGGGGCCCAACCCCGGGACUGCUCUUGGAACUGCGUUGCUAGAGUGCAGGAGGGGCAGGCGGAAUUCCUGGUGUAGCGGUGAAAUGCGUAGAUAUCAGGAGGAACACCGGUGGCGAAGGCGGCCUGCUGGACUGCAACUGACGUUGAGGCCCGAAAGCGUGGGGAGCAAACAGGAUUAGAUACCCCAGUAGUC